GGAACCCCCAUCAAACUUGGAUUUUGUAAGUAGUUGCGAAUGAACACAAACUUGAUCACUUUGGCAAUCUGUGCACAUCAUUGUGCAACAAUUUGUAUAUGUAGGCACAGUGCUAUCAAAGCUGCAUGCAAGUGAUUUUUGAAAGGAUACAACAUGGGAUGUGAUAUUCAUGUGUGUGUGCCUGCUUUGUCCACAGCCUGUGCUGUAUGAAUCACAUUUCUUGCAACUGAAAUGCUAAUAGCAUGGUAAAGUUCAUGUGACAUGAUACAAGCUUGAGAUUCAUGAUGUGCAAGUACCAUGAGGGAAAUGUGAAAAGGACUUUGAAAAGAGAAUUAAAGAAAGCCUGCAUUUGCUGACAAUAAAAGCAAGUGUAGAUGUUCAUGUAAUUGUUACUGCAUCAAUCAAUGUUCAUCAUGGUUACUGCAUGUUUUAUCACAUGGGAUCAGUUGAAACUUUGUGAGAGCACUCUUCAGUUCCCGCACGUACCCACCAGCUUUGUCCACUCGUGUGUUGGCACACAUGUAAUGAUGAUGUGUUUAUGCAAGAUACUUCUGUGCGCACCAACAUGUGGCAAAUUAGCAA
RNAcentral lists this ribosomal RNA (582 nucleotides) under Ostreopsis cf. ovata. RNAcentral's name for it is "eukaryotic LSU rRNA". It matches the Rfam family "Eukaryotic large subunit ribosomal RNA", at positions 55 to 634 of the family's 3401-position model. The record is from RNAcentral. Lineage: Eukaryota; Dinophyceae; Peridiniales; Ostreopsidaceae.